Non-coding RNA from Heterocephalus glaber (naked mole-rat), 4954 nucleotides. The record is from RefSeq and is a predicted model, not a curated record. NCBI's taxonomy places the organism in Eukaryota, Metazoa, Chordata, Mammalia, Rodentia, Bathyergidae.
UCACAGAAUAACAUUCGAGAAUGAGACUUGGGAUGAGGGGCCGGCCGCCGCACCCCCAGCAGAGUCAGCCCAGGGCCGGGCAGCAACCUCCGCCGCCCGCGACCCCCGGAGAGGGUCGGCCGAAAUGAAGCGCGCUGGCCUCAGACCCGGCCAGUGAGCGGGAGCACCGCCGCGCUCCCCCUUGGCGCGUCCUGCGGCACCAGCGGCAUGGAGAAGGCCACGCGCGUGGGGCUCUGAUCCCGCGCCCACGCCCACACCCCACCAUGACUGGCUCGGCGGCCGACACUCACCGCUGCCCCCACCCCAAAGGCGCCAAAGGCACCCGGUCCCGGAGCAGCCACGCGCGGCCCGUGAGCCUCGCCACCAGCGGGGGCUCGGAGGAAGAGGACAGAGACGGUGGGGUGCUGUUCCACGUGAACAAGAGCGGCUUCCCCAUGGACAGCCACACCUGGGAGCGCAUGUGGAUGCACGUGGCCAAGGUGCACCCCAAGGGCGGAGAGGUGGUGGGGGCCAUCCGGGACGCCACCUUUUUGGCAAAGCCUUCAAUACCCCAGGUCCCAAACUACAGGCUGUCCAUGACGAUCCCAGACUGGCUCCAGGCGAUCCAGAAUUACAUGAAGACGCUACAAUAUAAUCACACGGGGACCCAGUUCUUUGAAAUUAGGAAAAUGAGACCACUGAGCGGGUUAAUGGAAACAGCGAAGGAAAUGACCCGAGAGUCCUUGCCUAUCAAAUGCCUUGAAGCUGUCAUCCUGGGCAUAUACUUAACCAAUGGGCAGCCCUCUGUUGAGCGAUUCCCCAUCAGCUUUAAAACCUACUUCUCAGGAAAUUACUUUCACCACGUUGUGCUGGGAAUAUACUGCAAUGGCCGGUAUGGCUCACUGGGCAUGAGCCGAAGGGCUGAGCUGAUGGACAAGCCACUGACCUUUCGGACUCUCAGUGACCUUGUCUUUGACUUUGAAGACUCCUACAAGAAGUACCUGCACACAGUCAAGAAGGUCAAGAUUGGGCUCUGUGUCCCCCAUGAGCCUCAUAGCUUCCAACCCAUCGAAUGGAAGCAGCUGGUUCUCAAUGUCUCAAAGAUGCUGAGGGCCGACAUAAGGAAGGAGCUGGAGAAAUAUGCCAGGGACUUGAGGAUGAAGAUCUUGAAGCCUUCGAGUGCCCAUUCUCCGACCCAGGUGAGAAGCCGGGGGAAAUCCCUGUCGCCUCGAAGGAGACCGGCAAGUCCCCCGAGAAGGUUCGCCAGGCGAGACAAGUCGCCUGGAAUAUUAGCUCCCCAUCAACAAGAACUGAGAACUUUGUAAUCCCGAGGCAGGAGAUGGCAAGUGUGAGGCUUGCCUGGGCAAUUUAGCAAGUCCUUGUCUCACAACUUAAAAGGGGGGAGAAGUUGACUCAGUUUGAAGGCCCACGCAUCAGUCCCUCAUACUGAAGAAAAAGAAAAACUGAAAAACCUCUCUGCGAAUGCCUGCCCUGGCUGAGAAGAAGGUGGAUCUCAGCACCCUGAAUGAAGUGGGUUAUCAGAUCCGAAUCUAGUCAAGCCACAGUGGCCAGCAAGAGGGUUUUGUGGUGCUUCACUCUGCACUUUACCCAGCAUCUUCAGGAGGAACUGCAAGUAUUUAUUAAGAACCUGUGAAAUUUAUUUCUAAGGAUUCACCUGGAAAUAGAAUCUGAGUGGGUGGGAACAAUUAGCUUUAAAACUCCCGAAGAGGCAACCAUGAAAAGGCUAAAGAAUAAACCCCACCGAGGUUGGACCGUCUCCCUCACUCCAGAUCUCAAGGAUAACAAACAUUAACUGUAGUUUUAUACUUUUUCAUUUACUUUCUUUUACUUGCUUUGAACAUUAUGCCUCACCAAUAGCAAAUGUCAUGAAGUCCUUUCUCCCACUUUUGGUAUAGUAAGAUCAGUCAGUAUUAGUCUUUCUCAGCAAUAACAGAAGCAAAGAUGGGUGGGUUUUUCUUAAGCAGUUAAUAUUACCUCAGCAUUUUUACAUCAGAUAUGCAAACUUAAUGGCGUUUUGGUUUUUUAUAUUCUAUUUGUAUUGUUUCCCUACUGUUUCCCAUGGGGAUUUUCACAAGUUUGGAGUAUUUUCCUGGUGCACACACGUGAUGAGAUUUAAGGUAUUAUAUGCAAGUUUUACAAAACACUGAAAUUCUUUUGGCAAUACGGGAAACCAUUUUUAGGAUCUUGGAGUUUCUUACUCUUUUUUAAAGCAUUCACUGACGGCAAUUUCUGUUCUUAAAAAACAAGCACAUUUGGAGGCUAGUCUGUGUUCUGUCACUAACAUUUAAACUUUGCAAAGUCCAGCAGAAAGCACAAGAGGUCACACACUUAUUAUGCAGGCUCAGCAGUGUAGUGAUUACCUCGGACAUAGACACAGAAAGGCAGAGAGGCCAGGAGCGAACCAGCAGCAGGUCUUGAGAACCAGGUAACCUUUCUGUUCACACUUGAUGUGAUUUUUAAACUCAAGUCAGGCUCUGAUUCUGAAGGACUCGCUGUCAUUAAAUAUGUGUUCUGAUGUCUUAAGGCCAGAUGUGGUUAUUUUCCAGUUCCUUGGUUUUAGGUACCACACUUAGGACAUUUAGGAAGUAUUGGAAAAUAUAUGUUGGAGAAGCAGAAUUUUUUUUUAAUGAAGUCUUCUGGUACCGUGCUCCAUCUUCGUGUGACCUGUCCCUGGAGCCUGUGUGUCUUGGUUAUGGUGCAGCUUCUGGCUGCAGACAAGGUGACUCUUAAGGACAUGCAGUCUGUGUCCCACACACCUAGAGCAGAGCUUCUGUCUCAGUUGUUUCUGUCUCAGCAGUCACGCCAACUCAGGAGCCCAAGCACAGACUUAAAUGAAGUCUGCUAGUGAACGAAAGUGUUAGUUCAGUCUCAGUUACUUCUCCAGAUUUCUUUGGCUCAAGGUGGCUAUAGGAAAGUAAUAAGAACCCACUCUCUGACAGUCUGGAGGUGAUGAGGAAAGCAAAAGGACUUCAUCCUUCAGCUGUGUGCACCAGUGCUCACUUUACUGUACAAAUCAGCAUUAUUAAUGAAAGUACUAUUUUCCUGACAAAGGAAGCCAUACAUCUCACCUAGACUAAAAUGCAGCUUAAGUUUAAAAUUCUGAACUUAAUCACUAACUUCAAGAACAGUAUUAGCCAGGCGUGGUGGCGUAUGCCUGUAAUCCCAGCACUUGGGAAGCAGAGGCAGGAGGAUCAUCAUGAGUUCGAGGCCAGCCUACACUCCAUAGUGAGUUCAAGGCCAGCCUGAACUACAUAGUGAGACCCUGUCUCAAAAAAACAAAAAAUAGGGGCCGGGGAUUUAGCCCAGUGGCACUGUGCCUGCCUCGUAAGUGCAAGGUUCUGAGUUUGAUCCCCGGUACUGGGGAAAAAAAAUCAGUUAUUUUAAUAAUCAGUUAGUUUAAAGUUAUUAGGAUUGGAGAUACAGCUCAGUGGCAGAGCUUGUGCUUAGCAUGCAGAAGGUCCUAGGUUCCAUCCCAAGCACCAACAAAGUCACUUGCAUCUAUCUCCACACAGUAAACCAGGCACAUUUGUGGCCUCACAGCCACAUGUAUUUAGAUUUUUUUUUUGGUACUGGGGAUCGAACUUGGGUCCUUGCGCUUGUGAGGCAGGCGGCGGAACCACUGAGCUAAAUCCCCAGCCCCACAUGUAUUUAGAUUUUCAAAGUAACAGCGAAUCAUUUCUUAUUCUGAGACAGUAAUGACUUACCCAUGUAAAUUUUUUUUAAUCCACCUGCAACUUUACUAGAUCAGUAAGUAGACUAUUUAAAACACUACAACCAUUCUAAGCGUGGAAUAGAAUUUGCCAAGUGUUACUUAAGGACCACCCCUCAGACACAGGUCAACUAUUUGCAUGGCUUCCUGUUUCCUAUAAGAAAAAAUGAAUAGGAAUAUAAAACUAUUGCUGAUAUGCUGAUAUAUAAGCCUUAAAAUUGCCAACUGGCGUAAUGUUUAAUUAGUAACCUAAUUUCUUCAACAUGCCUUGAUUUUUAGAUUUAUGUUCCCAAAGCAAGGGUAAGUCACAGAAACAUGAACAUUCAUUUAAAAUGUUCUUAGUUGUUAUUCUGUUUCUACUGCCUAUAGAAUACUAAUUUCUACAAGAUACAGGAAAGUUACCAAACUCCUAAAUUCUAAUACAGUAAUACAAUUAAAGUAUUAUAGGAUUAAAAAAAAACCCCAACAACUCAAAAAUGACCCAGGAAACCAAGAUACAUCAUGUAAAGGUAUAAAUUCCCAAUGAUGAAUGUCAUAUUGUAUACCUAAAAUGUCCCGAUAAACUUAAUUUUUAAAAAACGACCCAAUUAAAUAAGAAAACCAAUGUAUUUUACUUCCCCAAACUGAUUUUAAGAUUGGCUGCAAUUCAAAAGAUAAAAAAAUAAAACUGAAUUAAUCUGAAUCUAGUUUUCUAAAGUAAUUAUGUAAGAAAUUUUAUGGUUAAGCCAUCAUUGGCAAUGUAUGCAAAGUUUAAAUGAAUGACAGAAAUCUUGAUAUGGAGACUAAUUGUGCUGUUUUGAGUAUACCUUAUUUCAGAAAGUGGUAUUUAGUAUUUUCUAUAUACACUGAAAUCAUGAACAUUUCACUUUUUCUAAGUCAAUUAUUUCAUAAGGAUUUUAUUAACGGAUAUUGGUAAAUAGAACUUUGGAAAUCUUAAUUCAGUAUUCUUACUAUACCCAAGGCUUUUGUAAGCUAUAGUUUUAUGUACAACCUUGUACAGUUUUUUGACAUACAAUUCAGAGUCUUGUUUAUUCUCUUGGACUUUGUUCUGGCCAAUACAUUUUUUUAAAAUCUUUAAGAAAAACUGUGAUUGUUUUAGUGAGUAUUUUUCUAAGUAAAUGAACACUUGUAUAAUGGUAUUUUAGAGAAUGCCAGAUAAGUGCAUGUUUUGAGUUUCUGUUUUUCUCAUCUCUUGUAUGUUUGUACAUAGCAUGGGACUGUAAUAAAACCAUCUUGGCAACUUAA